GUCGGCCCGCGGAAUUCAGCUCGGAAGGCCGGCGCGAGCGGCGGGCAAGAGAUCUGAUGGGACUCUCCCGUCGUUCGACCGCUGGUCGGCCGUGUGCACUUUCCGCGGGCAGAGCGCCACGACCGGUUCCCGGGCGGUCAGAAGGCGGCGAGGAAGGUAGGUGGUUGCUCCGGCGGCCACUGUUACAGCCUCGCCUGUCCCGAUCCGCCGGGGGACCGAGGAGCCGCCGUCGGUCGCGGCCACUCCGCUCUCUCGGGGAGUUCGACUGGCAGAGACUGGGCAACCGUGUCUGCCGACCGCUCUCUGGGAUGGUCGGAGCGGGCCUGGCCGGCACAGGGUCGGUGGCGAAUCGGUCGGCCCUCCACCCGACCCGUCUUGAAACACGGACCAAGGAGUCUAACAUGCGCGCGAGUCGUUGGGUAGUACGAAACCCGAAGGCGAAGUGAAAGCGAGGGCGCGCCUCUGGUGCGCUCAGGUGGGAUCCCGCUCCUCACGGGGAGUGGGCGCACCGCCGGCCCGUCUCGUCCGCGCUGUCGGUGAGGCGGAGCAAGAGCGUGCAC
This 560-nucleotide ribosomal RNA is filed under the name Semisulcospira libertina. Its description in RNAcentral is "eukaryotic LSU rRNA". The stretch from base 387 to 560 matches the Rfam family "Eukaryotic large subunit ribosomal RNA", at positions 665 to 807 of the family's 3401-position model. RNAcentral also lists the same sequence under 12 other names. The record is from RNAcentral. Lineage: Eukaryota; Metazoa; Mollusca; Gastropoda; Semisulcospiridae.